This 433-nucleotide ribosomal RNA is filed under the name uncultured bacterium. Its description in RNAcentral is "partial 16S ribosomal RNA". It matches the Rfam family "Bacterial small subunit ribosomal RNA", at positions 29 to 507 of the family's 1533-position model. The record is from RNAcentral.
AACGAACGCUGGCGGCAUGCCUAACACAUGCAAGUCGAACGAGACCUUCGGGUCUAGUGGCGCACGGGUGCGUAACGCGUGGGAACCUUCCCUUAGGUUCGGAAUACCUCCCCGAAAGGGGUGCUAAUACCGGAUAAUGUCUUCUGACCAAAGAUUUAUCGCCUUUGGAUGGGCCCGCGUUGGAUUAGCUUGUUGGUAGGGUAAAAGCCUACCAAGGCGACGAUCCAUAGCUGGUCUGAGAGGAUGCUCAGCCACACUGGGACUGAGACGCGGCCCAGACUCCUACGGGAGGGAGGAGUGGGGAAUAGAGGACAAUGGGCGGAAGCAUGAUCCAGCAAGGCCGCGUGAGCGAUGAAGGCCGUAGGGUUGUAAAGCGCUUUUACCCGGGAUGAUAAUGACGGUACCGGGAGAAUAAGCACCGGCUAACUCCGUG